GCCAAGGUUCUUAGGGUUUCAUUUCAUUCUUCACCGUUUCUCACAUUGCAAUCUUGCAAAACAUUUCAUUUAACUUUUUAAUUUGUAAGUGAUGAAGUCAAGGGCUGAAGCAAUAUAGGGGAGAGCAGUAUUAUACCAUGGCUCUGAAAUACCCAUAGGUUUUCUAUGGGGUGCCCUGCUUUUCAAGCCCUAAACAUCAAAAUUAAAAUGGUAUCAUAGUACGGAUUUUGUGCUUUCUACACAAAUCCGCCUCCAAACGCCAUUACAUCACAACUUCAUUACUCUCUUUUCUCUAUUUAUUUAACUUGUUUUCAUUUGAUUUGUUGUUUCUUUAACAUACGUAAACCAUAGAUUCAUGAACCUAUAGCUUAAAAUAGUGACAUCUAUGUAAAUUUCAUACUACAUGAGUAUUGAAAUUUGAGUAAUGAGGUCUGGUUUUUGAUUUCAUCUUUUACUUGAUUUGGGUUUUGAACAUAACAAGAUUCUGAAGUAAUUAUUGAAUAGUGGUCCUUUGAGUGUAUGUGAUUUUCUCGAAUUAUUGACUCGUACAAGUGUCUAUGGAUGUACAAGUGUCUGGUGUCUAUGUUUCAUACUAUUUUACUAUCUUUCAAUGAUAUUAGUCAUUAAGUAACAGGUUAGAAAUAUAGGUCUAACCUUAUAUUUGGAUCUGAGUUCUCUAAUACUAGUACUAGUAUAAUUCUCGAAUUUGUAAUUUAUAAGGAACAUUCUUCAACUUCUUAUUUGUGGACAGUUUAGACUAUUGAGAUUUCUUCUGUUAUUGAUAUCAAAUGGGUAAAUGAACAUGUUCAUUGUACUUUGAUUGUUCGUCAAUAUCAGCUCAUUACAGAUUAAUAUGUAUAUGAAAUGGAAAUUAAUCUAUGGACUAUGUCUGAUGACGUGAUGAUGAUAUUGGUGCGAGGUGCUUUGGAGGGUUUGCUUGCAUAUUCCAUUAACCUAUUAUGUCAUAGUCCUUAACUUUAAAAGAAUAAUAAAAAACUUUUUUUUUUUUUU
RNAcentral lists this long non-coding RNA (1011 nucleotides) under Medicago truncatula (barrel medic). Its description in RNAcentral is "lncRNA gene24667". The record is from RNAcentral. Lineage: Eukaryota; Viridiplantae; Streptophyta; Magnoliopsida; Fabales; Fabaceae.